GCACAACAUACAACAGUGUCCAUCGACUAAAUAAAGAAAGUCUCUCUUGUUUCACCAUUUUGUAUACAUAAUAAAGAUGGAAUCAUAUAUAAUCACAAACAAGAAAAUGCUUCUUCUAAAAUAAAUUCACAACUAUCACAAUCUCAAAUCAUCAUCACUCGUCGGAGAACCGAAUAUUUAAAAAAACAAGUAUCAUUUUUUUCUCUGAUAAAUGAAAAAAUCAAGCACCACGCAGGAAUGCACAUACAGUAACGAACUCGUGUUGAUUUUAUGGAGAAGUUGAAGUUGCAUUUAGUCGAUGAACGAAUGCCUUUGUUCCAAAUCUUCAUGUAUCUCCUCUGCGUUUACCUGGUAUAGCAAGGCUACGGUACAACUUAUUACUUUGUGAUAAGACAGGCUAGUUGACAACUCCAUUCACAUAUUUCUCAGCAUUAGAGGUGUUUGUGGAGGUAAUCUCGACCUUUGGUGGACCUGAAUGCCGUCUUGUAAUGGCUGGUGAAGGUGAGUAAGAGAGUCGCUUCUUCACAGAACCAGCAGAUCCCUUCGCUGGUGGUGUGCCAUUUUCCACGCCUAAUGGACUCUGCAAACGCGUUGUUCUUGCUUUUGCUGACUGAGUGGAUGCCAUAUAACUUGGUACGGAUGAGCAGCUUCCCAAGCUCUCAUCAUCUCUUACUGAUGAUCCUGCAAUGCUAUGUCUCCUGUUCAUUUCUGAUUGAACGCUAAAUACGCUUCGUGUGUCAUCUUCUUGGUUUAUUGCACUGACUCUUGCACUUCCUGGUUUCGGUUUUCUAGCUGUGGAUGGCUUGGAAGGUGUAGUAGGAGACUGGCGGCUUGAAGGACGGUUUGGUUUUUGGCUUAAAGGAGAAGAUGGGAGUUCAGAGUUCAGCUGAUGACGGGCAAAUGCCUUGGUAAUUUCCCCUCCAGACAUGCUCAUGCUGGCACUUCUUACGGACAUUUGAUCACCUUUUAGUUCUUUCUCGGACAUGUUUUGGUUUUCCCUAGACCUAGCACCCAUCCACCGCUCUAACCAACUCCAACCCCAUUGAGGAUUGGUUGGAUCCAUAAAUAACAAAUUGGUAGCUUUUGAUGACUUCUUCCAGGUUUGCUGGUGGGAAUAUGAAUACGCGAGUGCUCUUUCUCGUCUCAUUGCAGCUUCAUAUCUGCCGAGCAAACUUGCUUCAAUUUGCUCUUUUGAUUGUAGAGUAUCAUCCCACUCCUCCCCUCUCCUCAAACUCUCAAGUUCUUUUGCAUGUUUCUGCAUAAGCUGCCUCUGGAGAGUUCUGUUCUCUUCCAACAACCUGCUCCUUCUAGAACUAAUCUGAGACUGCGCACGAGAUAAAGUCUGCAUGCAUUUCAGAGUAUUUGCAGUUUGCCGUUUGACAGUAGGUCCAUCAACUAAUGUUUUGAGUCUGACAAGUCCUCUUAAAGCUCUCAAUGCUCUUCUGGCCAGAUAUCCUCGAAAUGUCGUCUGAAUCCUGAUUGCAGCUAUUUCCUCCUUGGAUUUUCCUGGGAAUUGAUUGACCGUAGUUAAUCUAACAACCUCUGCAGCAGCCUGGGCAGCUGCAACAGCCGCUUCGGCUGCUGCAGCUGUAGCAACUGCAACGGAAUACACAUGUUUAGUCUGUUCUUCUUCCACUUCAGCCAGUUUGACCUCUUCCACUUGAGGAAUAGGUUGCGGAGGAGACACUGAGGCAACCACCAAAGUUGAAGAAUCUGGGAGUGGCUGUUUUUCUUUCCCAAACCAUUUCUUCUUUGAUUUACCAUCUUUCUUCUCCUUAGAGUUUGGGCUCAAAGCCUUCUUUACUGAAGAAAACCAGCUUCCUUUCUUCCCCAUCUUCUCGUUCGACAAAUGGUCUUAUCCUUUAAAACUGGAGCUGCACAGAUCUCAGAAAGCUUGUAUUCUGUUCUUGUAUUGUUCAAAGACUGCAGCUUUAUUCUUCUUUUUUUCCAACUUUCAAAAGUCACAAACAAUGUGGCAUCUUCUUCUUCUUCUCUGUAACAGAAAACAAAAAGAUAAGAAAAGAGUUGGACCCCUCUAUCUUUUGACCCUUUUUUGCAUUUUGUAUUGUGAGUGAGAGAGAGAGAGAGAAUCAAAUGAUGGAGUUUGUACAUCUUGCAGAUUGUGCAGAGCAAUGGGUGGU
This 2141-nucleotide unclassified non-coding RNA is filed under the name Hevea brasiliensis (rubber tree). Lineage: Eukaryota; Viridiplantae; Streptophyta; Magnoliopsida; Malpighiales; Euphorbiaceae. The record is from RNAcentral.